This 71-nucleotide transfer RNA is filed under the name Minisyncoccota bacterium. Its description in RNAcentral is "tRNA-Gln". It matches the Rfam family "tRNA". From Rfam's summary of the family: Transfer RNA (tRNA) molecules are approximately 80 nucleotides in length. Their secondary structure includes four short double-helical elements and three loops (D, anti-codon, and T loops). Lineage: Bacteria; Bacillati; Minisyncoccota. The record is from RNAcentral.
UGGGGUAUCGUCUAAUGGUAGGACAGCAGUUUCUGGAACUGUUAAUCGAGGUUCGAGCCCUUGUACCCCAG